CUACGGAGGAUGCAAGCGUUAUCCGGAUUUAUUGGGUUUAAAGGGUGCGUAGGCGGAUGAUUAAGCGUGAGGUGAAAUGCCACUGCUCAACAGUGGAACUGCCUCGCGAACUGGUUGUCUUGAAUGCUCCUGCUGAGGGAGGCAUGUGUGGUGUAGCGGUGAAAUGCAUAGAGAUCACGCAGAACACCGGUUGCGAAGGCAUCUCACGAAGGGGUGAUUGACGCUGAGGCAAGAAAGCGUGGGGAUCAAACAGGAUUAGAUACCCUGGUAGUUCACGCAGUAAACGAUGAUAACUAACCGCUGGGUCGUAGUGAUUCAGUGGCCAAGCGAAAGCGAUAAGUUAUCCACCUGGGGAGUACGACCGCAAGGUUGAAACUCAAAGGAAUUGGCGGGG
Molecule: ribosomal RNA, 394 nt
Filed under: uncultured bacterium
Lineage: Bacteria
Description: partial 16S ribosomal RNA
Rfam family: Bacterial small subunit ribosomal RNA
Source: RNAcentral